GAGGUAGUGUGUUUCAUUUCAACCAAAACCAAAGCUCUUCUGUGGUUUACCAACUCUAACAAUGGUUCUUUUUGGCUUAAUUACCGCUAUAGCACUUGUCCAUAUACAGCAGGUACAGACAAUAGAGGUUCAGCAUGUACAUCUUGGAGGCACAGUCUCUUUGGUCUGUAAUCUGACAUCUUUUUACAACGUGGCCUGGUUCAAAGAAAACCCGUACAGACCCCCAACUUUAGUGGUCUUCAUCAACCUCAGAAAAGGAGACAUGGUUUAUGGUUACCAGGCUGAGCCCCGUUUUACAGCGGAGUUUGUGCACCGCACUCUUACCAUCACUGAUAUCACUGAGAAUGACCUGGGCUUGUAUUUCUGUGCGGUCUGUUUGAACACAGAGUUGCUGAUAGGAUCGGGAAUCAUAAUUCAAGGUCCUUUCCACUUUGGCUUCUAUCACUGGUACUGCUCAGCUGUGGGUGGUGGAUUGCUGUUUAUGGUGGUUUCUGUUUGUGUGGUUCACUGCAAAACCAAAGAUCACAGAAAAAAUCCGCUCAUUGAAGAACAAAAGGAUCAAAACAACAGUGACAUAUAUGCAGUUCCUCACCAGCAGACCCAGGCAAUUCUACAUGUCCACAUUUAAGAGAAUAUUGUGUAAAAUCUUGAUAUCGCAAAACUCUGACAAAGUCUUUUUGCUUGUGUGUACUCCUUUGUAAACUAUUAUAUGUUUUGAAAUACCACUGGAUUAUUUUAAUUUCAACAUGUUUUUUUCAACAUGCUUUUUUAGUUGUGUGUAUAUGCUGAUUGUUGUUAUAAUAUGCUAUCACCUGUGAAGUGCUUGAAACAAUGUCUCAGUCAACAUGUGUCUUAGAAACGGGGUAUUAGUCUAUGCUCAAAA
Non-coding RNA from Boleophthalmus pectinirostris (great blue-spotted mudskipper), 883 nucleotides. Lineage: Eukaryota; Metazoa; Chordata; Actinopteri; Gobiiformes; Gobiidae. The record is from the annotation of a RefSeq genome assembly.